This 108-nucleotide small nuclear RNA is filed under the name Sander lucioperca (pikeperch). The record is from RNAcentral. Lineage: Eukaryota; Metazoa; Chordata; Actinopteri; Perciformes; Percidae.
GUGCUUGCUCAGGCAGCACACAUGAAAAAUUGGAAUCAAUACAGAGAAGAUUAGUAUGGCCCCUCCGAAAGGAUGACACACACAAAAUAUUACGCAAAGCAGCAAUAC